Non-coding RNA from Peromyscus maniculatus bairdii (prairie deer mouse), 1045 nucleotides. The record is from RefSeq and is a predicted model, not a curated record. NCBI's taxonomy places the organism in Eukaryota, Metazoa, Chordata, Mammalia, Rodentia, Cricetidae.
GUCUCUGGGUCAUCCAGCCUGUGGGUCCUCGUACACCAGGCAGUAACAUGGAUGGCUUACUCUCCAGUUUAUGGAGUCCUCCAGAAGAGGGCAAGAAAGGAUUGUAGGAAUCAGAGGGGUCAAGACCUCCACAAGAAAAUAUACAGAAUCAAAUAAUCUUGGCUUGUAGGUGCUCACUAGGACUGAACUGACAAGCAGGAAGCUUGCAUGGGACUGACCAGGCACUGUGCUUAUAUUUGACCCUUGUGUAGUUGGUUUUAUUGUGCGACUCCCAGUGAUAGGAAAAGGGGCACUGAAUUUGAAGAAAAAUCUUGAUCUUAGGCCUGGUAGGUAAAAAAUGGCAAUCCUCCUGCCUCUAUAGUACUUCUGCUGGGAUUAAAAACAUUCACUAACACACUUGACAUACACACACACACAAAAAAAAAACUGUUCCUUUCCUGAAAAGUACUCACAUUUAAUGAAACAAAACAACCCCAAAGUGAAAUUAGCAAGAAAACACCAUUGAAAAAUCAUUAAACUAUGAAUAGUCAUAGCCCCACCACUGCACACUGGUCCUUCUGGUUCCAUCACAGUAACUGGACUGACCCAGAGAAAAAAUUGAAGAUGAAACUCAACAUCAAGUAUAUUCUGGAGAAGGACUUAUGCAGAGAAUAAUGGAGAGAAUCCCCUGUGGCAAUGCUGUUUCAAGGAGCAGUUCCUACACAACCAUUAGAAACGCAGUGCAGUGUGCCCGGCCUUGGCAUUGGCUCACAUGGUUCUAUUGACCAUGUCAGCUCGUCAGACCCUGUGAUAAGUGCUGUGGUUUCUGAUAAUGGAUGAGAAGAGAUGAAGAGGCAGAAUCUCCUCCAGCAUAGUGAUGUCACUUCUUCCCAGGUUCUUACAAAACCUCUAGCAUCUGUAAAAGAGAACAUUUGCUACUGUUGGCUCAACCAUCACCAAAAGUAAUUAAUCAAAAAAAAAAUCCAGAAAGUAAUGACAUGUUGUAACACACUCUACUUUUGUUCUUCAAAUUCAAUAGUAUGUGGUUAAAAGAUAUAUUCAUAUA